RNAcentral lists this ribosomal RNA (513 nucleotides) under uncultured bacterium. RNAcentral describes it as "bacterial SSU rRNA". It matches the Rfam family "Bacterial small subunit ribosomal RNA", at positions 8 to 518 of the family's 1533-position model. The record is from RNAcentral.
AGAGUUGAUCAUGGCUCAGGAUGAACGCUAGCGGCAGGCCUAAUACAUGCAAGUCGGACGGUAAAUGCCCCUUCGGGGGCAUGAGAGUGGCGGACGGGUGCGCAACGCGUAUGCAACCCACCCCCGACGGGCGCACAGCCGGUGGAAACGCCGGGUAAUGCGCCAUGCGCCCUAGAGGGGGCAUCCCCUUUCGGGCAAAGCCAUAAGGCGGUCGGGGACGGGCAUGCGUCCCAUUAGCUGGUAGCGGGGCGACGGCCCACCUAGGCUACGAUGGUAGGGGAUCUGAGAGGACGGUCCCCCACACUGGUACUGAGACACGGACCAGACUCCUGCGGGAGGCAGCAGUAAGGGAUAUCGGGCAAUGGGGGGAACCCUGACCCAGCCAUGCCCGCGUGAGGGAAGUAGGCCCUACGGGUCGUGAACCUCUUUUGUCCAGGGACAAGGACGGCGUCGAGAACGCCGUUUGAGGGUACUGGAAGAAUAAGCGUCGGCUAACUCCGUGCCAGCCGCAGC